UCCUGGUUGGCUCAGCUGGUAGAGUAUGUGACUCUUGAUCUUGGGGUUGUGAGUUCAAGCCUCACAAUGAGUA
Molecule: transfer RNA, 73 nt
Filed under: Felis catus (domestic cat)
Lineage: Eukaryota; Metazoa; Chordata; Mammalia; Carnivora; Felidae
Also listed under: 2 other names
Rfam family: tRNA
About the family: Transfer RNA (tRNA) molecules are approximately 80 nucleotides in length. Their secondary structure includes four short double-helical elements and three loops (D, anti-codon, and T loops).
Source: Rfam by way of RNAcentral